This 254-nucleotide ribosomal RNA is filed under the name uncultured bacterium. RNAcentral describes it as "partial 16S ribosomal RNA". It matches the Rfam family "Bacterial small subunit ribosomal RNA", at positions 524 to 776 of the family's 1533-position model. The record is from RNAcentral.
UACGAAGGGGGCUAGCGUUGCUCGGAAUCACUGGGCGUAAAGGGUGCGUAGGCGGAUCUUUAAGUCAGGGGGUGAAAUCCUGGAGCUCAACUCCAGAACUGCCUUUGAUACUGAGGAUCUCGAGUUCGGGAGAGGUGAGUGGAACUGCGAGUGUAGAGGUGAAAUUCGUAGAUAUUCGCAAGAACACCAGUGGCGAAGGCGGCUCACUGGCCCGAUACUGACGCUGAGGCACGAAAGCGUGGGGAGCAAACAGG